Molecule: ribosomal RNA, 377 nt
Filed under: uncultured eukaryote
Lineage: Eukaryota
Description: partial 18S ribosomal RNA
Rfam family: Eukaryotic small subunit ribosomal RNA
Source: RNAcentral
CAAUAGCGUAUAUUUAAGUUGCUGCAGUUAAAAAGCUCGUAGUUGGAUUUCGGGUGGGAAUGGCCGGUCCGCCGUUUCGGUGUGCACUUGCUACGCCCACCUUGCUGCCGGGGACGUGCUCUUGAGUUCACGCUCGGGACACGGAGUCGGCGAGGUUACUUUGAGUAAAUUAGAGUGUUCAAAGCAGGCCUACGCUCUGAAUACAUUAGCAUGGAAUAACACGAUAGGACUCUGGCCUAUCUUGUUGGUCUGUAGGACCGGAGUAAUGAUUAAGAGGGACAGUCGGGGGCAUUCGUAUUUCAUUGUCAGAGGCGAAAUUCUUGGAUUUAUGAAAGACGAACUUCUGCGAAAGCAUUUGCCAAGGAUGUUUUCAUUAA